UACGUAGGGCGCGAGCGUUGUCCGGAAUCAUUGGGCGUAAAGAGCUCGUAGGCGGCCUGUCGCGUCCGCUGUGAAAUCCCGGGGCUUAACCCCGGGCGUGCAGUGGAUACGGGCUGGCUGGAGGCAGGCAGGGGAGAACGGAAUUCCUGGUGUAGCGGUGAAAUGCGCAGAUAUCAGGAGGAACACCGGUGGCGAAGGCGGUUCUCUGGGCCUGUUCUGACGCUGAGGAGCGAAAGCGUGGGGAGCAAACAGG
Molecule: ribosomal RNA, 253 nt
Filed under: uncultured prokaryote
Description: partial 16S ribosomal RNA
Rfam family: Bacterial small subunit ribosomal RNA
Source: RNAcentral